AUCUAUGGCCAUGCUACCCUGAACAAGCCUGAUCCAGUCUGAUCUCAGAAGCUAAGCAGGUUCAGGCCUGGUUAGUACUUGGAUGGGAGACCACCUAGGAAGACCAGGUGCUGUAGGAG
Molecule: ribosomal RNA, 119 nt
Filed under: Pteropus alecto (black flying fox)
Lineage: Eukaryota; Metazoa; Chordata; Mammalia; Chiroptera; Pteropodidae
Also listed under: 1 other name
Source: RNAcentral